UAAGGCCGAUGAUUUAUUAGAGAAUGUUCGAGUCGGUCGUAACGAGGCCGUCGCCGCUCGGUUUUACAAGCGCCCCUCCCUCGGCGGGGUUAUCCGGGGGGCUGUCGCCCGCCGCGCUAUCCGAUCCCUGGCUGCUACCAGGGCGGCUGCCGAGCCCCGCGGGUUUCCCAGCUGCCUUCCCAGGACCUGGAAACUUAAACUUCGCAAAUGGGGCGUCUCCCUACUCGGUGGCGGAGGAAAUAGCGGCCUGGAGAGCCAUCCGACCCGGGAAACCGGCGCGUCUUUCCAGGCGACCCGCCGACUGCGGAGGCUGCGAGGAGCGGCCUGCUCAGACGAAAUGGGGAGGGUCUCACUAUGUUGCCCAGGCUAGACUUGAACUCCUGCACUCAAGCGAUCCUCCUGCCUCAGCCUCUUGAGUAGCUGGGACUACAGGUGUGUACUAUUGCACCCAGCCUUGGCCAGUCUUGAUCCACACUGUUGACAUCAUGACUUUAUCCUCUGGACCUGACUCUUCUGUUGUCCUCAGCCCUGCCGUGGUUGACUUCUUCUAACUGCAGGGAGCUAGAAGUCAGAGAAAUAUGUGAACUUCCUUUCUGUGCCAUGAUGUUCCAAAGAGGCACUGGGGCAAGACUGAGAGUUGUGGAACUCAGCAGACCCUCUUCAGUCAGCCUUCAUGGUAUGUUGUCUGGUAAACUGACUUCAGGAUAGAAGGUAUGGCACAAGCGCCUAACUGUUCAUAGGUGCUGGACAAAUGUUGAUCAAAUGAAUAAAUAAAUGAGGAGUGAAUAAAUCAAUAUAUUCCAAGGAUGCCACCAUAUAGUUACAGAGUUACUACCCACUGAAGUUGCAUUCCUAAGUGAAACUAUAAAUCAUUUUUAUAAUAAAGUAAAAGUUUAUCUGA
RNAcentral lists this long non-coding RNA (901 nucleotides) under Homo sapiens (human). RNAcentral describes it as "HSALNT0390471". Lineage: Eukaryota; Metazoa; Chordata; Mammalia; Primates; Hominidae. The record is from RNAcentral.